GAUGAACGCUGGCGGCGUGCUUAACACAUGCAAGUCGAACGAUGAAGCCCAGCUUGCUGGGUGGAUUAGUGGCGAACGGGUGAGUAACACGUGAGUAACCUGCUCUUAAUUCUGGGUUAAGUCUGGGAAACUGGGUCUAUUACCGGAUAGGAGCGUCCACCGCAUGGUGGGUGUUGGAAAGAUUUAUCGGUUUUGGAUGGAUUCGCGGCCUAUCAGCUUGUUGGUGGGGGAAUGGCUCACCAAGGCUGCGACGGGUAGCCGGCAUGAGAAGGUGACCGCGCACACGGGUACUGAGAGAGGGACCAGACGGCAACGGGAGGCAGCAGGGGGGAAUAUUGCACAAUGGGCGCAAGCCUGAUGCGGAGACGCCGGGUGAGGGAUGACGGCCUUCGGGUUGUAAACCUCUUUCAGUAGGGAAGAAGCGAAAGUGACGGUACCUGCAGAAGAAGCACCGGCUAACUACGUG
Molecule: ribosomal RNA, 466 nt
Filed under: uncultured bacterium
Lineage: Bacteria
Description: partial 16S ribosomal RNA
Rfam family: Bacterial small subunit ribosomal RNA
Source: RNAcentral